UGCCCCGGUGUGGAAUAGGCUGCAAUUAAUUCCUAUCUAUCAGCCAGCAUCACGUUUACUGUAACUCCAGCUAUCAUGUAUUAAAUCAGCUCAUCUUGUUCCUUUUCAGUAACAAGGCUGUACCUGUGCUGCAUACAGAAUGUGCUAAAAAGAGAAAAGUGAACUGUAUUCAGCACAUGCAUUUCCAUUAAUUAGCUUCCCUUUUGUAUGACCUACUAAUUUUUGUGUGACAAUUUCAAACUGCAAGUGGUGAAACAGAGCAGGUUAAAGAGGCUACCACAAAAAUAGUAGCAAAAGGAGCAACAGCUUCUGUGUCCCUCGGGGGUGCUUACCUUGCAGUUUUCCUGCAAUGUCUGCAUUGUAAUACAGGCAUCACCCCAUUUGGGGCACUGUUGUAAAUGUCCAAGUAGCUUUUCACCUGCUCUGCUGGCCGAUGUGAAAUUUUUUGUGUUUGCAGUAUGAUGUUAAAAACUCAAGUGUAAAUAGAUUAAAGGCAGGCUCCGCUUAUUUACAUGAGGAAGGUUCACAUUUCCCUCUUGAGCUGGCGGAGCAAUCAGCCCGGGGUGAUACUGGUAUUUGGUUUCUUUGUUCAAGCAAGUUAUUGUAGCUGUGGGGUAUGAAAACCUGCUCUGUGGAAUGGAAAGAAGGAAGAGCUUGUGGGGAAAACGGGAGAAACAGCAACCAGCAACGGAGCCCUGCGUUUGUUUAUUUACAACAAAUCAUACACAGAGAAUGUUCUAGCCAAUGCUUCUUUACCUGCCAAGCAAAACUGUGUGACCAAAUCCAGGAUCUGGGCAUGACUGAGCUUAGCAAGCCAUUUGCAGGUUUUCAGUGCCAAGGCCAGCACUCAGGAAUCCCUGACCCAGGAGACCAGGGAGAAGGUCUGGAGAAAGGAAGUCUUUCCCUUAGUGGAGGAGGAUUGGAUUAAAGAUCAUUUAGAGAAACUUUACAUCUUCAAGUCCCUGGGCCCUGACAGAAUGCACCCACUAGUGCGGAGGGAGCUGGCAGACAUCAUUGCUAGGCCACUCUCAAUCAUCUUUGAUAUGUCAUGGCAAUAAGGGGAGGUGCCUGAGGACUGGAAGAAAGCAAAUGUCAUCCCAGUCUUCAAACAGGGAGAGAACCCUGGGAAGUACAGGCCAGUCAGCCUCACCUCCAUCCCUGGAAAGCUGACGGAAUAGCUCAUCCAGGGGGCCAUCUCUCAGCAUGUGGAAGACAAGAAGGUGAUCAAGAGUAGUCAGCAUGGAUUCAUCAAAGAGAAAUCAUACUUAACCAACUUGAUCGCCUCUAUGAUGGGACAGUUGGCUGGAUAAAUGAGGGGAGAGCAGUCGAUUUUGUCUACCUGGACUGCAGCAAGGCUUUCAACACUGUCUCCUAUGACACCCUUGUAGGUGAGCUCAGGAAAUGCAGGCUGGACAAGAACUGCCUGAAUGGCAGGUCUCAGAGGGUUGUUGGAGACUUUAAAUAGUGGUGUCCCGCAAGGGUCAGUACUGGGUCCAGUAUUUGCUUAAUUUCUUCAUCAGUGACAUGGGCUAGAUGAACCCUGGUGGUGCUUACAACCUCAACCAUUCUGUGAUCUGAAUAAGAGUCUUUUCUGUCUUACAGGGAAAUCACAUAAUUGUAACCUAAAGAAUGGUUGUUUUCCAACUGCAAUUGUAUCCGAUGCUUGUUACUUCUUUUACAUCAGAAAUAAAGGUUGAGGGGCAUUAUGUAUUCUUUAGCUACUUCUGACUAGACCACCAUCCAGCAGAAGGGUUGCUGGAUAC
Neopsephotus bourkii (Bourke's parrot) is the source of this 1763-nucleotide long non-coding RNA. RefSeq lists it as uncharacterized. Lineage: Eukaryota; Metazoa; Chordata; Aves; Psittaciformes; Psittacidae. The record is from RefSeq and is a predicted model, not a curated record. The transcript is spliced from 3 exons.